AGCUUUUGAGCUAAAUAUAUUAUAAUAUUAGUUAUUUAUUUAAAGUGUUGUAAAACUUUAUUAAAAAAUAUAUUUAGGGGUGAUAGGCUAUUCAAAAACUAAGAUAUCUUGAAUCUAAUUAAAUGUAUAUAGUACAUUCUACACGACUAUUUAGUGUUUAGGCUUUAUAGAAAUAUUAAUUUUUUUUAGAUUUUAAAAAUUAUAAUUUAAUAACUAAAUUUUAUUUAUAAAAUAUUAUACAUUUAAUAAAAUUUAUAUGGAGUAAUUAGAUAAAUUUAAGUUAUAUUAUAAUUGAAAUAAUGUUAAUAUUAGUAUAUGAUUUAUAUUUAUUUGAUGAACUCGGCAAAAAUGUAUUUCUCAACUGUUUAUCAAAAACAUAACUAUGUGUGUAUAAUACAUAGCGGUUUCUGCUCAA
This 415-nucleotide ribosomal RNA is filed under the name Mandarina sp. A AD-2005. Its description in RNAcentral is "partial 16S ribosomal RNA". The record is from RNAcentral. Lineage: Eukaryota; Metazoa; Mollusca; Gastropoda; Stylommatophora; Camaenidae.